UUAGUUUGUGUACAACAGUUAACAACUUUAAGCUUAUACAUUAACUUUAAUUAUAACUUAAUUAUUAAUGAUUUGAUUUAUAGAUUUUUAAAGCAAUACAAGAUUUAGUUUAGCAUAAGGCUAAAUUUCUGCUCUGGAGACAAAAAAGGAAGACAGCAAAAAUGACCAGUCAAAAUAAAGAUUGAAGAGACAAAAAAUUUUGUAUAUCUUGGUGUAGAUGAUUUAUGCUCAUUUUCUUAUAAUAAAACAAAAAAUAUUAUUAAACUUUGGGAUUUACCUGUAAUUCCAAAAUCUUUACAGAAGUUUAAUGUUUGCUCUGAGAAGUUGAAUGAACAAAAUUAUUAAAUGUGUUUAUUCUUAGUCGUCAUUGAAGUACAACUUGGUAAACUACAAAACACAUCAAAUUCAGUUAUAAAAAAGAGUGUCAUUGCUAUUAAAAGCAGUGAAGAAUUCAAGUACUCUGGAAGAAAAGAAAAUACGUAAGUAAAUGGUCAAUUAUUUGGCACAAAUCGGAGUUAAAGACUAGUUGUAAAAUCAAACUAUGCAGAGAGAGGACAAAAAAUUGGAAUAGAAAAAAUGUUGAUUGCAUACGCUGCUAUUGAAACUGUGAAGUCAAAUAAGCACGGCUUAUGCAGACAUGUGAUAGCUAUAGAGGAAGAAAAAAUAAUAAUCUUGGGCACCAAAUAUCAUAAGCUAAACAUUAUUCAAUAACAAGUAGCUCAGCCAAUAUCGAAACUACUCUAUAAAUUUUAUAGUGAAUUUUUUUAUUU
Long non-coding RNA from Hydra vulgaris (swiftwater hydra), 770 nucleotides. RefSeq lists it as uncharacterized. NCBI's taxonomy places the organism in Eukaryota, Metazoa, Cnidaria, Hydrozoa, Anthoathecata, Hydridae. The record is from RefSeq and is a predicted model, not a curated record.